This 301-nucleotide ribosomal RNA is filed under the name uncultured bacterium. RNAcentral's name for it is "partial 16S ribosomal RNA". It matches the Rfam family "Bacterial small subunit ribosomal RNA", at positions 509 to 809 of the family's 1533-position model. The record is from RNAcentral.
CAGUAGCCGCGGGAAUACGAGGGGGGCAAGCGUUGUUCGGAAUUAUUGGGCGUAAAGGGUGCGUAGGCGGUUCAGCAAGUCUCGUGUGAAAUCUUCGGACUCAACCCGAAGUCUGCACGGGAAACUACUGGGCUUGAGUAAUGGAGAGGUGAGUGGAAUUUCCGGUGUAGCGGUGAAAUGCGUAGAUAUCGGAAGGAACACCUGUGGCGAAAGCGGCUCACUGGACAUUUACUGACGCUGAUGCACGAAAGCUAGGGGAGCAAACAGGAUUAGAUACCCCAGUAGUCCCUGUCUCUUAUAA